This 460-nucleotide ribosomal RNA is filed under the name uncultured bacterium. RNAcentral describes it as "partial 16S ribosomal RNA". It matches the Rfam family "Bacterial small subunit ribosomal RNA", at positions 338 to 795 of the family's 1533-position model. The record is from RNAcentral.
CCUACGGGGGGCAGCAGUGAGGAAUAUUGGUCGAUGGACGAGAGUCUGAACCAGCCAAGUAGCGUGAAGGAUGACUGCCCUAUGGGUUGUAAACUUCUUUUAUAUGGGAAUAAAAUGUUCCACGUGUGGGAUUUUGUAUGUACCAUAUGAAUAAGGAUCGGCUAACUCCGUGCCAGCAGCCGCGGUAAUACGGAGGAUCCGAGCGUUAUCCGGAUUUAUUGGGUUUAAAGGGAGCGUAGGUGGAUUGUUAAGUCAGUUGUGAAAGUUUGCGGCUCAACCGUAAAAUUGCAGUUGAAACUGGCAGUCUUGAGUACAGUAGAGGUGGGCGGAAUUCGUGGUGUAGCGGUGAAAUGCUUAGAUAUCACGAAGAACUCCGAUUGCGAAGGCAGUUCACUGGACUGCAACUGACACUGAGGCUCGAAAGUGUGGGUAUCAAACAGGAUUAGAUACCCUUGUAGUC